Molecule: ribosomal RNA, 749 nt
Filed under: uncultured Pseudoramibacter sp.
Lineage: Bacteria; Bacillati; Bacillota; Clostridia; Eubacteriales; Eubacteriaceae
Description: bacterial SSU rRNA
Rfam family: Bacterial small subunit ribosomal RNA
Source: RNAcentral
GACGAACGCUGGCGGUAUGCUUAACACAUGCAAGUCGAACGAGAAGUCUUUUAUUGAACCUUCGGGGGAUAUAAGAGACAGACAGUGGCGAACGGGUGAGUAACGCGUGGGCAACCUACCUAUCGGAGCGGGAUAGCCUCGAGAAAUCGGGAGUAAAACCGCAUAACACGGAUAUAUCGCAUGAUGAAUCCGUCAAAACUCCGGUGCCGAUAGAUGGGCCCGCGUCUGAUUAGCUAGUUGGUAAGGUAAGGGCUUACCAAGGCAACGAUCAGUAGCCGGUCUGAGAGGGCGAACGGCCACACUGGAACUGAGACACGGUCCAGACUCCUACGGGAGGCAGCAGUGGGGAAUAUUGCGCAAUGGGGGCAACCCUGACGCAGCAAUACCGCGUGAGUGAAGAAGGUUUUCGGAUCGUAAAGCUCUGUUAUUGGGGAAGAAGCAGUGACGGUACCCAAUGAGGAAGUCCCGGCUAACUACGUGCCAGCAGCCGCGAUAAUACGUAGGGGACGAGCGUUGUCCGGAAUCACUGGGCGUAAAGGGCGCGUAGGCGGUUUUAUAAGUCAGAUGUGAAAGGUACCGGCUCAACCGGUGACGUGCAUUUGAAACUGUAAGACUUGAGUACUGAAGAGGCAAGCGGAAUUCCUAGUGUAGCGGUGAAAUGCGUAGAUAUUAGGAAGAACACCGGUGGCGAAGGCGGCUUGCUGGGCAGAUACUGACGCUGAGGUGCGAAAGCGUGGGGAGCGAACAGG